Long non-coding RNA from Mauremys reevesii (Reeves's turtle), 949 nucleotides. RefSeq lists it as uncharacterized. NCBI's taxonomy places the organism in Eukaryota, Metazoa, Chordata, Testudines, Geoemydidae. The transcript is spliced from 4 exons. The record is from RefSeq and is a predicted model, not a curated record.
UGGUUGCUCUUCCAAACUGAAAAUUAGUUGUGAUUUCCUGCUAGCAAAACCAGGGGAUGAUAGAAGACCACCCCACCCCCUCCUGCCACUUGCCAGUGGUGAGAAAACACAUGGUCAUGCAGCAGGUUACAUCUGUUUAACAGGUUUGAAAGAAAGAGCAAAAGAGACUCCUGUACAUGAGCUAAAAAUGGGGGCUUCAGCCAGUUACACUAUGUCUAUAUUGUCUCUGGAGCUGGAGGAAUGACAAAAGAGAAAAUCCUACACUUGAAAGGUGCCAUGGUGAGGUCACGUACACAGAUGGAAGGUCCAUGCCGAUAUUCGAACAGGAUGUUUUGGCUCAGAAACAAGACGAUUAAGAUGAGAAUGGGUGUGUUAUACCAAUAUACAGCAGCUUCAUCCGCUUUCACUAGCUUCUCUACUAUCAAUUCUCCUCCCUCCAGAAGCGUUUGCAGAGAGAGAGCGAGCAAAUGCAACCACCAGGGAAAGGAACAAGUGAGUGGGCUUGUUGCUGGAGAUCGGCCAGUACUGCAGAGAGGUGGCUACUCACAGCCUGCUGCCAGGAGCAGCUCCAGGGGAAAGCAUUAUCGCAGCUCUCUAGGUGGUUCUUCGUAAGCAGCAACCCUGUUCCAGAAGCUUUGUUGAAUACUCAACUCACUGCAGUCCCUCCAACCCAAUAUUCAGAAGCCCCCUUACAAUCAGACUCGUUGGACUGUCAAGGUCCCUUUGUACAGCCCCCAGUUAAGUCUCCCUUCUCCCUCAAGCCUGCAGUUGGAGAAGAGAAUUAACAUGAGUAUUGUGCUGGUCCCACACGCAAAGAAUCUUAGCCUAGGAUCUCCAAAAGUCAGUUCCUUGGUACUGCUCCCACACAAGUCAAUGUCUUCUCAACUUCCAUCCUCCCUAAGUCAGCUUGUUUCAUGCCAUGAAGUAGAGGCUGGGACUAGACAAUAAA